This 1712-nucleotide long non-coding RNA is filed under the name Spirodela polyrhiza (greater duckweed). RNAcentral describes it as "long non-coding RNA (SPOL_LNC002206)". Lineage: Eukaryota; Viridiplantae; Streptophyta; Magnoliopsida; Alismatales; Araceae. The record is from RNAcentral.
UUGAAAACCCUUCCUUUCAUUAGUGAAAAUUUGACUAGGGGAUAAGGUUGCUUUAAUACUUGUACUUGGGCCAUCAACUUCUUCAGCUCCACAGAAAACAUUUGAUCAAUUGACUGUUCAGCAAAAAAGAAUUGUGGUGCAUGACCCACAGAUAGAAUAAAUAGUAAGCGAAUGAAUAACAUUACAUAAAUGUAGAGGUGCUUACUGUCAUUGUGAACAUCAUGACUGUUCUCUGUGUCAAAAGAAUCAAGGAUGACCAAAGUAUUCUCUUCGACACCCUUGCUGCUCCUCGCAUAACUUUCUCUGUGCAAGUCUUCUAACUUGAAAGCCACAUGAGAACAUAGACUAGCAUAGAUGUGUAGCAUUGAAAGCCACAUGAGACAAUAUGCCCCUUCAAAUAGAGAAAAUGGUGGAAUAAAAAAUACAGGAAGCAUAGAUGUGUAGCAUUGAAUUCAUGUUGUUUUAGAAAAUUAUGGUAAAUUUAAAAAAUGAAACAAUACCUUUAGCAUUAUAUUUUGCCCACUGAAUCCAGCUCAUUAUGGUCUUUUGGAGACCUUAGACUAGCAAGAAAAUCAUGUCACUAGGAGAGAAAAAUAAUUAGGCCAUUAUUAAAAGCUGACAAACACUUUGCAAGUGUGGCGGAGAAAAAGAGGAACAAAAAAGAAAAUAAGCUCACUUUGUUCACAUUUCUACCUCUCAGGACUAGAAGACUUUGUUUCCUGUUCAAUCCAUCUGACUUAGUGAUACAAAAUACCCAACAAAAGCCAAAGAAAACUGACAUGUCCUUGGUUAUACAAUAGCAAAAAAAAUUGAUUAAAACUCUAAUCCUUCUCAAGUGAAAAUCUGUGAAAAAAAUAAACUUGGAUUCGUCAAAUCUCACCUGUCACUCAAAGAAAGUGGUGUCAUCUUUGGUUCUAAUUUAAACAUCACAAAAUCAAAGAAAAUGGUGUUCUCUUGAUUCUAUAGUGAAUUCUAACUUUUAUUAAAAAAUUCUUGACUCAAAAAAACACUUUUGAAGGCUAUCCACUGCAAACAAUCAAGUUGGAACACUAGUUAAGAAAUCAAACAAAAAUUUCUCAAAAACAACUUGUGGAUUAUGCAGAAAUUAAUGAAGAGGAUUACGUAGAAAUUCUGUUAUCUAUUUAAGCACCUUCAUUCGGUUUAUUACAUGUGACAUUGGUUAAUACGAUAUUUAUCAUCAUUUUAUCUUUAACUAACACAAAAAAUGAUGCAUUAACACCCCCAAUUUAAAUUAUUACUAGUCCCUUAUCAAUGCUCACAAAACUUGAAAUUCGAAAUGACAAUGAUUCAAAACAUCAUGUUGAAAGGUAAGAUUGAUUUAAAAUGAAUCUACUUGCUUUAGACAAGCUUCAAAUUUAUAAGGCAAGUAUCAGGGGUGAAUAAAUUAUCUCCAUUGUGUAAACACUCCUCAAGAUUGCAUUUAAAAUUUCAUCUACAUCUUAACACAAAAUCAACACUUGUAAUUAGUAAAUAUCACCCAAUAGAUAACUGAAAAUUCUAUGUAACACUCAAGAGCGUUUUCCAUUCUAGAAACCUCAAUCUUUCCAUAGUUUGGAGUAUAACUGUCUUUCUAUUAAUGAUGAUUGUCAAUAAUAAGGACAGGUAGCUUUUUCCUCACGGUUUUUUUUUUUCUGACAAGAGGAGAGUGGAUAAACACUUCCAUUGUCUAAUGACCCGAUUUUUGGACCUUC